Molecule: ribosomal RNA, 498 nt
Filed under: uncultured bacterium
Lineage: Bacteria
Description: partial 16S ribosomal RNA
Rfam family: Bacterial small subunit ribosomal RNA
Source: RNAcentral
AUUGAACGCUGGUGGCAUGCUUUACACAUGCAAGUCGAACGGUAACAGGCCGCAAGGUGCUGACGAGUGGCGAACGGGUGAGUAAUGCAUCGGAACGUGCCCAGUCGUGGGGGAUAACGCAGCGAAAGCUGCGCUAAUACCGCAUACGAUCUCUGGAUGAAAGCGGGGGACCGAAAGGCCUCGCGCGAUUGGAGCGGCCGAUGUCAGAUUGGGUAGUUGGUGGGGUAAAGGCCCACCAAGCCAACGAUCUGUAGCUGGUCUGAGAGGACGACCAGCCACACUGGGACUGAGACACGGCCCAGACUCCUACGGGAGGCAGCAGUGGGGAAUUUUGGACAAUGGGCGCAAGCCUGAUCCAGCAAUGCCGCGUGCAGGAAGAAGGCCUUCGGGUUGUAAACUGCUUUUGUACGGAACGAAACGGUCCGGGCUAAUACCCUGGGCUAAUGACGGUACCGUAAGAAUAAGCACCGGCUAACUACGUGCCAGCCGCCGCCGUAA